This 464-nucleotide ribosomal RNA is filed under the name Vreelandella stevensii. RNAcentral's name for it is "partial 16S ribosomal RNA". It matches the Rfam family "Bacterial small subunit ribosomal RNA", at positions 339 to 795 of the family's 1533-position model. The record is from RNAcentral. Lineage: Bacteria; Pseudomonadati; Pseudomonadota; Gammaproteobacteria; Oceanospirillales; Halomonadaceae.
CUACGGGUGGCAGCAGUGGGGAAUAUUGGACAAUGGGCGAAAGCCUGAUCCAGCCAUGCCGCGUGUGUGAAGAAGGCCUUCGGGUUGUAAAGCACUUUCAGUGGGGAAGAAAGCCUUGGGGCUAAUACCCUCGAGGAAGGACAUCACCCACAGAAGAAGCACCGGCUAACUCCGUGCCAGCAGCCGCGGUAAUACGGAGGGUGCGAGCGUUAAUCGGAAUUACUGGGCGUAAAGCGCGCGUAGGCGGUCUGAUAAGCCGGUUGUGAAAGCCCCGGGCUCAACCUGGGAACGGCAUCCGGAACUGUCAGGCUAGAGUGCAGGAGAGGAAGGUAGAAUUCCCGGUGUAGCGGUGAAAUGCGUAGAGAUCGGGAGGAAUACCAGUGGCGAAGGCGGUCUUCUGGACUGACACUGACGCUGAGGUGCGAAAGCGUGGGUAGCAAACAGGAUUAGAUACCCCAGUAGUC